UCGUUUACCCCUCCCCGAUUCUAUCACUCCCGGUUCAAUUCCGUCCCCCGAAAUCCCUAGGCCCCCUCGGCCCCUACCUCCGCCCCAUCACCUUAGCGCCGCGAGCGCGCCAGGCGGACACGGCGAACAAGGCGGCGCCGCAGCGGGGUGCUCGCAGCCAGCGUGCGACCUUUCUGUAGCGAGUACAGGCGGCCGGUGUACAAGCGGCGGCCAGAAGGCGGGAGCGAAGUCGCGGCUCCACAGCAUCUACCCUUGCAGCCAACGCGAUCUCGGCCGCGCGACCGACGAACACUUCCGCGGGAGGACUAGGUACUCUCGAUGCACAUCAUGCUUCCUGUAGCGACUGAAUGCGUUAGCAAAAUUUGAUAGGUUAUGGAUGGGUAAUAUUUUUUUUUCUGUGGUAGCAAAAUCUGAUGGAUUCUAGAUUUUUUUUUGUCCCCUGCGUUCUGCUCAUGGGCAAAAUCAGAUUGAUUGUUCACGGGUGUUUGUGUUGUCGAGAGAUGUUGGCUAAUUCUGUUGUCAGAAUCUGAUUGUGAUUGUGCUUGAAAGAAGUCCACAUACCCCCCCUGAACUCUCAGAUUUCGAGCACAUCACCCCCCAACUGUGAAACCGGGUUCUUAAUCCCCUGGACUGUCCAAUACCACACAAAUCACCCCCUGAUGGCGUUUUGGGUGGUUUGAGACGCUGGUUUUGCACAUGUGGCAGAUGCUUUGCCAGGUAUGAUUGACCAAGGCGUCUGUUUCGCGUGGGAAUCGGCAGUGAGGGUUACUAAGUCUGAAUAUUUUUCUGAAAUGAGUACUAAUGUAUUUGUUUGUCUGAAUUUUGUCCAGAAGUGAACAUAUGCAGAGCAACAGUUUUGUUUAUGAGGGAACACGUGCAAAGCUAAAAUUUUGUCUAAAAGGGAACACUUGCAAAGCAACAGGUGUACAUGGAUUUUGUCUGAAUUGCAUAAACCUGAAUAUAUGUCUGAAACUGGCAGCAAUCUCACUGUAAAAAUACAAAAACACAUAAACCUGAAUAUAUAUCUGAAACCUAAAUAUAUGUCUGAAUUGCAUAAAUUUGACCAUAUCAUUUGGCACUUUCAUUCAUCAUCCAUCAGAAUAAAGUUCUUUUUUUUUGCGGGGGCCAUCAGAAUAAAGUUCAACAUGACCAAAAGCACAAAAUGCAGUAGUUUUGCACUGUCAUUCAUCAUCCACUAGAGGUGGGUUUAACAUGACCAAAACACAUAAUUUAAGAUGAUGUUUUACAUCAACAAAAGCUCAAGCUUGUCACUGAUGCUACACAUCACCACUGCUCAUAAGUAAGCAUAAGCACACUAUCCCAUCCUUCCUGUUAGAAGCCACUCGAACCUCCCAUCACCAUAAGCUGGAACUUGUGAUGAAGAUGUGCUUGGCUGAGAAUUUGAAGUCCUUGGUGCCCUAAAUGGCCUUGGUGCCCUUGUAGCUGCAGGAGCCCUUGUUGGUGCUGGUACCCUUGUAGCUGCUGGAGCCCUUGUUG
This 1497-nucleotide long non-coding RNA is filed under the name Triticum aestivum (bread wheat). Its description in RNAcentral is "long non-coding RNA (TAES_LNC011551)". Lineage: Eukaryota; Viridiplantae; Streptophyta; Magnoliopsida; Poales; Poaceae. The record is from RNAcentral.